AUUGAACGCUGGCGGCAGGCUUAACACAUGCAAGUCGAACGAUGAUUAUCUAGCUUGCUAGAUAUGAUUAGUGGCGGACGGGUGAGUAACAUUUAGGAAUCUGCCUAGUAGUGGGGGAUAGCUCGGGGAAACUCGAAUUAAUACCGCAUACGACCUACGGGUGAAAGGGGGCGCAAGCUCUUGCUAUUAGAUGAGCCUAAAUCAGAUUAGCUAGUUGGUGGGGUAAAGGCCCACCAAGGCGACGAUCUGUAACUGGUCUGAGAGGAUGAUCAGUCACACCGGAACUGAGACACGGUCCGGACUCCUACGGGAGGCAGCAGUGGGGAAUAUUGGACAAUGGGGGCAACCCUGAUCCAGCCAUGCCGCGUGUGUGAAGAAGGCCUUUUGGUUGUAAAGCACUUUAAGCAGGGAGGAGAGGCUAAUGGUUAAUACCCAUUAGAUUAGACGUUACCUGCAGAAUAAGCACCGGCUAACUCUGUGCCAGCAGCCGCGGUAAUACGGAGGGUGCGAGCGUUAAUCGGAAUUACUGGGCGUAAAGCGAGUGUAGGUGGCUCAUUUAAGUCACAUGUGAAAUCCCCGGGCUUAACCUGGGAACUGCAUGUGAUACUGGUGGUGCUAGAAUAUGUGAGAGGGAAGUAGAAUUCCAGGUGUAGCGGUGAAAUGCGUAGAGAUCUGGAGGAAUACCGAUGGCGAAGGCAGCUUCCUGGCAUAAUAUUGACACUGAGAUUCGAAAGCGUGGGUAGCAAACAGGAUUAGAUACCCUGGUAGUCCACGCCGUAAACGAUGUCUACUAGCCGUUGGGGUCCUUGAGACUUUAGUGGCGCAGUUAACGCGAUAAGUAGACCGCCUGGGGAGUACGGCCGCAAGGUUAAAACUCAAAUGAAUUGACGGGGGCCCGCACAAGCGGUGGAGCAUGUGGUUUAAUUCGAUGCAACGCGAAGAACCUUACCUGGUCUUGACAUAGUGAGAAUCCUGCAGAGAUGCGGGAGUGCCUUCGGGAAUUCACAUACAGGUGCUGCAUGGCUGUCGUCAGCUCGUGUCGUGAGAUGUUGGGUUAAGUCCCGCAACGAGCGCAACCCUUUUCCUUAUUUGCCAGCGGGUUAAGCCGGGAACUUUAAGGAUAUUGCCAGUGACAAACUGGAGGAAGGCGGGGACGACGUCAAGUCAUCAUGGCCCUUACGACCAGGGCUACACACGUGCUACAAUGGUAGGUACAGAGGGUUGCUACACAGCGAUGUGAUGCUAAUCUCAAAAAGCCUAUCGUAGUCCGGAUUGGAGUCUGCAACUCGACUCCAUGAAGUCGGAAUCGCUAGUAAUCGCAGAUCAGAAUGCUGCGGUGAAUACGUUCCCGGGCCU
Molecule: ribosomal RNA, 1356 nt
Filed under: uncultured bacterium
Lineage: Bacteria
Description: bacterial SSU rRNA
Rfam family: Bacterial small subunit ribosomal RNA
Source: RNAcentral